Molecule: ribosomal RNA, 301 nt
Filed under: uncultured bacterium
Lineage: Bacteria
Description: partial 16S ribosomal RNA
Rfam family: Bacterial small subunit ribosomal RNA
Source: RNAcentral
CAGCCGCCGCGGUAAUACGUAGGGGGCAAGCGUUAUCCGGAAUUACUGGGUGUAAAGGGAGCGUAGACGGUUAAACAAGUCUGAAGUGAAAUGCCGGGGCUCAACCCCGGAGCUGCUUUGGGAACUGUAGAACUGGAGUGUCGGAGGGGUAAGCGGAAUUCCCAGUGUAGCGGUGAAAUGCGUAGAUAUUGGGAGGAACACCGGCGGCGAAGGUGGCUUACUGGACGACAACUGACGUUGAGGCUCGAAGGCGUGGGUAGCAAACAGGAUUAGAUACCCCGGUAGUCCCUGUCUCUUAUAC